Long non-coding RNA from Neopsephotus bourkii (Bourke's parrot), 551 nucleotides. RefSeq lists it as uncharacterized. The record is from RefSeq and is a predicted model, not a curated record. Lineage: Eukaryota; Metazoa; Chordata; Aves; Psittaciformes; Psittacidae. The transcript has 3 exons.
ACAAUAUGUUGUAAGUCUGUGGUGAGAUAACAGGAUCUAGUGGCCCCACUAAACAUAAAUGAGUUAUUUCACAUCAUCCUUCUACUUAUCAGUUAGUUUAGAAACAGAGCCUCCCAAACAUCUGCUAGCUUGGGAUACUCCUUGUCUGCCCAUCCUGAAAUAAAUUUUGCAGGAAGGUCACACUGGUCUAAAUCUUUGCCAGCUAUCAGAGAAAAUACAGAUAUGGCUGGUUUCAGCUACUUUUGUGAUUACUGGGGCAUCCAACUGUGCCAAAGGUGAAAAGUGCACCGUGAGGAAGACUGCUUACUUCAUCUUGAAGCCCCCUGCCCACAACCAUCAGAGGGCAGUGCACAAGUGCCAAAAGGGAGGAGACUUAUGAUAAUGAGUACCUAAACUAAUUGUAAUAUCCCCCCGAACUCUCGGGAACCUAAUGAAUAUGCAUGUUUGUGUGUAAUAAAUAUCUGCUUGCUUAACCCCCUGGAGUGCAGGUUAGGAGGAGUGAUUCCCCUUGCACCCAGUGCCGUAAUAAAUAUACCUGCUUUAUAACUCUC